GUCAUCGUAGCUUAAACCACUAAAGCCUGGCCUUGAAGAUGCCAUUAUAGGACCCAGCGUCCUCAGUGACG
Molecule: transfer RNA, 71 nt
Filed under: Sphenodon punctatus (tuatara)
Lineage: Eukaryota; Metazoa; Chordata; Lepidosauria; Sphenodontia; Sphenodontidae
Description: tRNA-Phe
Source: RNAcentral